RNAcentral lists this long non-coding RNA (395 nucleotides) under Mytilus galloprovincialis (Mediterranean mussel). The record is from RNAcentral. Lineage: Eukaryota; Metazoa; Mollusca; Bivalvia; Mytilida; Mytilidae.
CUGGUGAUAUUGAAACAAAUCCUGGGCCAUCAUUUGCAAAUGAUUUUAGCCUAAAUGAUUCAGUUUCGAAUUUAGAUCUUCGCGAUUUGAUCACAUUUACUUGCAUUAAUAUUCAAAGUGUUAAAUCAAAACUUGAUAUUUUGGAGGCAGAGCUUGGGGAUAGAGAUAUAAUUAUGUUAACAGAAUCUUGGUUAAAGCCGAAUAUAUCCGACAAUUCAGUUGCAUUAUCAAACUUUAAGGCUCCUUAUCGUAACGACAGAGAAGGUGAUAAGCUUGGAGGGGGAGUCAUGAUUUAUGUAAAACAAAAUAUCCCAAGUAAGCGACGAAAUGAUCUAGAAAUCAAUACUCUCGAAUGCUUAUGGGUUGAAGUAGUAGUUAAGGAUUGUAAAUUUUUG